UGGACUCAGGACGAACGCUGGCGGCGUGCUUAACACAUGCAAGUUGAACGGUAUGACAUGGAAGCUUGCUGAAGUGUCAUAUAGUAGCGGACGGGUGAGUAAUGCAUGAGAAGCUGCCAUUGGGAGGGGGACAACAGUUGGAAACGGCUGCUAAUACCCCGUAUGCCGGAGGGUGAAAGGGAGUAAUCCGCCCGAUGAGGUGCUCAUGUCCUAUCAGCUGGUUGGUGGGGUAACGGCCUACCAAGGCGACGACGGGUAGCCGGCCUGAGAGGGUGAACGGCCACACUGGAACUGAGAUACGGUCCAGACUCCUACGGGAGGCAGCAGUGGGGAAUAUUGGGCAAAUGGGGGCAACCCUGACCCAGCGACGCCGCGUGGGGGAAGACGGCCUUCGGGUUGUAAACCUCUUUUGUACGGGAAGAAGGAAGUGACGGUACUGUACGAAUAAGUCCCGGCUAACUACGUGCCAGCAGCCGC
RNAcentral lists this ribosomal RNA (477 nucleotides) under uncultured bacterium. RNAcentral describes it as "bacterial SSU rRNA". It matches the Rfam family "Bacterial small subunit ribosomal RNA", at positions 19 to 518 of the family's 1533-position model. The record is from RNAcentral.